This 272-nucleotide ribosomal RNA is filed under the name uncultured bacterium. RNAcentral describes it as "partial 16S ribosomal RNA". It matches the Rfam family "Bacterial small subunit ribosomal RNA", at positions 505 to 776 of the family's 1533-position model. The record is from RNAcentral.
GUGCCAGCCGCCGCGGUAAUACGUAGGGUGCGAGCGUUAAUCGGAAUUACUGGGCGUAAAGCGUGCGCAGGCGGUGCUGUAAGACAGGCGUGAAAUCCCCGGGCUCAACCUGGGAAUUGCGCUUGUGACUGCAGUGCUGGAGUACGGCAGAGGGGGAUGGAAUUCCGCGUGUAGCAGUGAAAUGCGUAGAUAUGCGGAGGAACACCGAUGGCGAAGGCAGUCCCCUGGGCCUGUACUGACGCUCAUGCACGAAAGCGUGGGGAGCAAACAGG